CGCCAUUGUACAGGUCGUUUAAGGCUGGUAGGACCACAUAAGAUUUAUUCAAAGCAAGAGCACACAUGUUACCCUGUGACUAAUGGAGCUCAGACAUAGCCUACGUUGCUUAAUGACACCCCUAAUAAGCAUUGAAAAUUUAACAAUCAUCGGUUAAAAAUAUUUGAAUAAUGUUAAAGCAAAACGUUUUCAACCAGUUACAUUUUAUACAUGUCUAGUAUAGCCAUGUAAGACAAAUACUUUUAUUGCCCGACCCCUGGCCUCAGCUAUCACACCCAUGUAUAAGUCAGUAUUAGUAGUUUUUUUUUUCAUUUACUGGGGUAAAAAUUAUGUGCAUUAGACCAAUUAUUAAGGUAGACUUCUCUAGAUUCGUCCUGAACAUUUAAGACCAAAGUUUUGAUGUAACAGUCUGAACCAUCUCAAGUCAUUAAAGUCAUUUAAAAUCGAUAUUCAUACGAUCGACGUAGACAUUGUUCAUACAUACAGUCUUACGGCUUAUUCUCAAUAAAACUAUCGGUCUUCGUAUAUCGAUCUAACUCCGUGGGGGUUCUUGCUGAAUGGAAUCAGUUUAACAGAUUAACACGUCUGCUCCUGGAGUACAGAGAAUAUUCAAUUUAUAGUGUUUCUACGAGUACGUUGGGAAUACGCUUUCAGUUCAUAACCCCUCAGCAAGAUCAAAGAUAACGUGGAAAUCUUAGAGAGGGUACCCCAUUGGAAAGUCACUACCGAAUUCUCGGAAUACUUUUGGCGACGUUAUAGCCCGGGGUUCAGAAGAGAGACACGAUGUUCAUAAUCUAUCGCUUGGUCAAAGAUACGCAUCAAAACCUUACUGAGAUUUGCCUAUUUGAGAAGGCUACCAGAGAGAGUAUUUUGCAGAAGAGCACUGUGCAUUUUAAAAUGUCUUAAGCAUUGUAAGGUAUUUUGUUUACUGACCAUUAAGUGUACUACGUUGGCACAUUCACGUCAGUGUGGAGCAAGCUAGAAUAAAUGGUGUUUCACUCGCCUCUCAAGGCAAAUAUAUGCUAGCAGACUAGGUCGAUUCUGUUGUUUUACAUAGAAUAAAGAUAUACACGUACGGAGAGCUGUUUUUCUUUUAUAACGCUUGGAUGGCUUGUUACACCGGUACGAGUAUAGAAACAGAAAAGAAGUUCAUUUGACGUUUAAAUGUGCCCUCACUCCGCCAUUGUAUCCCUAUAUCAAGAUGUUUAAUUUGGCUUUAGUUCAGAUUAUUGACAUGCGCAUAAGAAAUUGCAAACGCAUAAAAUAAAACAGCUCCUUUUCUCCCUCGGAUACAUGAUCCAUUCGUAAAUAAACGUACAUAAUGACUUUGUACGUCAAUAGCAGUAAAAGGGAAUUCCCUAAUAAAACCUUUCGUCACCUCUAUUAAUAAUACCUGCAGCUGAGUCGCCAUUGUACAGGUCGUUUCCAGCUGGAAAGUUAACGUGAUAUUUUAUCAAAUUUUGAGGUGUGAUGUCAACCACAUCAGUGUCAACGGGUGACAUACAACUAGUCGUAACUGAGAUGUCGUAGGAAUGGGUAUUUAGGGUAAAACAAAUUCCGCACGACAACACGAAAUUUCCAGUUUACGCGUAAAUAUCGAGCAGGGAAAUUUUACCUGUACAUUGGUUUCGGUUCGCACGGAAAUGUGUUGUUACGUAAAAAUUUCGUAAUUGUCCAGUUUUAAAGAAUUUCAAUGAUUAUUUUAAUUGAUAGGAUUAAUUCAUGUCGAUCCUUCCCUAGUUACACACAAAAAAUGAAGCUGGAAAAUAAUUUAGAAAAAAAAAUUAAUAAAAUCAAUGGUGGAGGUAGGGGAGGACGCAACGGGUAGGAACCACUUUUUCCACCCCCCC
Lingula anatina is the source of this 1850-nucleotide long non-coding RNA. The record is from RefSeq and is a predicted model, not a curated record. Lineage: Eukaryota; Metazoa; Brachiopoda; Lingulata; Lingulida; Lingulidae.